This 678-nucleotide ribosomal RNA is filed under the name Roseobacter sp. J2151c. RNAcentral's name for it is "bacterial SSU rRNA". It matches the Rfam family "Bacterial small subunit ribosomal RNA", at positions 127 to 840 of the family's 1533-position model. Lineage: Bacteria; Pseudomonadati; Pseudomonadota; Alphaproteobacteria; Rhodobacterales; Roseobacteraceae. The record is from RNAcentral.
UGCCCUUCUCUAAGGAAUAGCCACUGGAAACGGUGAGUAAUACCUUAUACGCCCUUCGGGGGAAAGAUUUAUCGGAGAAGGAUUAGCCCGCGUAAGAUUAGAUAGUUGGUGGGGUAAUGGCCUACCAAGUCUACGAUCUUUAGCUGGUUUUAGAGGAUGAUCAGCAACACUGGGACUGAGACACGGCCCAGACUCCUACGGGAGGCAGCAGUGGGGAAUCUUGGACAAUGGGCGCAAGCCUGAUCCAGCCAUGCCGCGUGAGUGAUGAAGGCCUUAGGGUCGUAAAGCUCUUUCGCCAGAGAUGAUAAUGACAGUAUCUGGUAAAGAAACCCCGGCUAACUCCGUGCCAGCAGCCGCGGUAAUACGGAGGGGGUUAGCGUUGUUCGGAAUUACUGGGCGUAAAGCGCACGUAGGCGGAUCAGAAAGUAAGGGGUGAAAUCCCAGGGCUCAACCCUGGAACUGCCUCUUAAACUCCUGGUCUUGAGUUCGAGAGAGGUGAGUGGAAUUCCGAGUGUAGAGGUGAAAUUCGUAGAUAUUCGGAGGAACACCAGUGGCGAAGGCGGCUCACUGGCUCGAUACUGACGCUGAGGUGCGAAAGUGUGGGGAGCAAACAGGAUUAGAUACCCUGGUAGUCCACACCGUAAACGAUGAAUGCCAGUCGUCGGGUAGCAUGCUAUU